RNAcentral lists this long non-coding RNA (713 nucleotides) under Nicotiana benthamiana. RNAcentral's name for it is "long non-coding RNA (NBEN_LNC014093)". The record is from RNAcentral. Lineage: Eukaryota; Viridiplantae; Streptophyta; Magnoliopsida; Solanales; Solanaceae.
UGCGGACAUAAUCCAAAAAAAUGAUGCAUUAUACAAAAGGAUAUCCAAAACUAAUCAGCUUUGAGAUGCGAAAAAUUCCAGACACUCUGGGUUACCAAAAUGUAACAAGAUACUAGAAUGUGCAUCCUUAAGUUCCCAUAAAUAUCAGACAGAUAAAGAAACUGGGAACAGUUAACUAACAACUAACAACAAGAUCUUAAGUCCACGUUAAUGUGAUCAAUGAAAGUGUACAGAUAAAUACAAUACAAUUUCUUUAAAAUAAAUGUGACCCUUGACACAAGGUGAAGUACCAUGCCACUUGAUUGCUUGUGGAGAUGUCAAGGGGAUUCUUUAAUAGUUCACUCCAAGAGAUAACUCACGUACAAUCCAACCAAAAGGCAACAAGUAAAGCACCUGUUAGUCUUGAAACUCUCAAAUCCAUAGAUAUCCAGCACGCCAAUCAAAGAUUUAGAAUUGGGAUCUUGACCAAUUGAACUAUUAAUCUUAUCAACCAGCCUGCAAACAAAUGUUGAAGGGUCUGAAUAAACUGACAAUUUAUUUUUGUAGAAGUAAAGCAUACUACAAGCAAAGAAGAUAGAAGGGUCUGAAUAAACUGACAAUUUAUUCGUGUAGAAGUAAAGAAUACUACAAGCAAAGAAGAUAACUGAACCUGUCAUGUAACUCCUGUCCAGACACAAAACUAAAUCUUACCAGUCAAACAAUCUUGAGUACAC